GCUGGGCAUGGUGGCUCAUGCCCGUAAUCCCAGCACUUUGGGAGGCCGAGGCGGGCGGAUCACCUGAGGUCAGGAGUUCAAGACCAGCCUGACCAACAUGGAGAAACCCCGUCUCUA
RNAcentral lists this non-coding RNA (117 nucleotides) under Homo sapiens (human). Lineage: Eukaryota; Metazoa; Chordata; Mammalia; Primates; Hominidae. The record is from Rfam by way of RNAcentral.